AGUAACGUGUGGUGGCUCCUUCCUCCUCAUCUGAGUCUCCAGGACCGACCACCUACUGGACUGAACGAUCAUGACGGGCUUAAAGAAACACAACCAACCACUUGUUUCCUUCUGUGUGUGUGUUAACUAUUGGUGUUGAUGUCCACAUAUGAGGUCUGAGGACAUUAGACAGUGAAAAGGACACGUAUAGUUAAUUGAGGACACGGCGCGACUCGUCUGGAUGAAGGACACGAAGCGGACAUCAAAUUGGUCCCUCAAGUAAUUUUUUUUCACAGGGGGUGCUGUGGCUGAGUGGCUACAGCGCUCACUUAACCUAUUCCAAGGUCUCUGGUUCGAUCCCAAUGCACUCAAACGAUACCCGCUGGAGUGCCAACCU
Molecule: long non-coding RNA, 376 nt
Organism: Homarus americanus (American lobster)
Lineage: Eukaryota; Metazoa; Arthropoda; Malacostraca; Decapoda; Nephropidae
Exons: 3
Source: RefSeq, a predicted model, not a curated record